GUGCUUGCUUUGGCAGCACAUAUACUAACUUUGGAACAAUACAGAGAUUAGCAUGGUCCCUGUUCAAGGAUGACACUCAAAUUUGAGAAUCGUUCCAUAUAUAU
Molecule: small nuclear RNA, 104 nt
Organism: Suncus etruscus (white-toothed pygmy shrew)
Lineage: Eukaryota; Metazoa; Chordata; Mammalia; Eulipotyphla; Soricidae
Source: RefSeq, a predicted model, not a curated record